GGAGGAUCCAAGCGUUAUCCGGAAUCAUUGGGUUUAAAGGGUCCGUAGGUGGAUAAUUAAGUCAGAGGUGAAAUCCUGCAGCUCAACUGUAGAAUUGCCUUUGAAACUGGUUAUCUUGAGUCAUUAUGAAGUGAUUAGAAUGUGUAGUGUAGCGGUGAAAUGCAUAGAUAUUACACAGAAUACCGAUUGCGAAGGCAGAUCACUAAUAAUGUACUGACACUGAUGGGACGAAAGCGUGGGUAGCGAACAGGAUUAGAUACCCUGGUAGUCCCACGCCCGUAAACGAUGGUCACUAGCUGUUUGAACUUCGGUUUGAGUGGCUAAGCGAAAGUGAUAAGUGACCCACCUGGGGAGUACGUUCGCAAGAAUG
RNAcentral lists this ribosomal RNA (370 nucleotides) under uncultured organism. RNAcentral's name for it is "partial 16S ribosomal RNA". It matches the Rfam family "Bacterial small subunit ribosomal RNA", at positions 527 to 896 of the family's 1533-position model. The record is from RNAcentral.